GUGUGGAGCUGCCGCCGUUCUACCGGCGGCUGGGUUAUGCGGACAACGGCACCGAGCCCGCGAGCGACCCGCGCACACUGCAGCCCUUUCACUUCCUGAUCAUGUCGAAGGCCCUGUAAAGGGACUGGUUGUCAGGCGGGCGUGAUGGCGUCACGGUCCGCCAGUCACCUCGCCAGCUCCGGUGUCUCGCCACACACUUUCGCCGGCCGCCAUCCAUCGCUGUUUCGUGCCGUCCGGCGCGUUCACUUCCGCAGCCCAAACCAGGCGGCUCGGAUCGCGGUCGUAGGUCAGGACUGGCGGGUCGACCAACGAACCGGCUCCGGCCGCGUUCGCGAUCCUCGUGGCAAUCCGGUCGGGAUCAAUCCAGUCGGCUGCAUCGGGGCUCGACUGCACAUGCCCUCCGGCCAGCAAUGAGAACCGGAGAAGGUCGAGCGCCCUGCCGACCUGCGCCCAGGCCACCAGUCUGUUGUCAGCGACAAAGGGCACCAUCCAUGAAUGAAUGGCGCCGUUGGCUUCAUGCACCGCCAACGGCUCCCCCAUGUCAGUAGAGAUCCCGGCAGGCAGCUGGACGACGCCUUCCUCGGCAAGGUUGCGGACGCGCGCCGCAAUCAAGGCGCGCUCGUCGCGAGCCGGCAUGGUACCUCUGGUCUCGUCCUAGACCGUCGUGACUCGUGCGGUGAAUGCACGGCGGUACGUCUGCGUGU
RNAcentral lists this unclassified non-coding RNA (704 nucleotides) under uncultured fungus. RNAcentral describes it as "sequence contains 18S rRNA gene, ITS1, 5.8S rRNA gene, ITS2, 28S rRNA gene". Lineage: Eukaryota; Fungi. The record is from RNAcentral.